This 412-nucleotide long non-coding RNA is filed under the name Mytilus galloprovincialis (Mediterranean mussel). Lineage: Eukaryota; Metazoa; Mollusca; Bivalvia; Mytilida; Mytilidae. The record is from RNAcentral.
AUCUGUUACCUUUAAAAAGAUAUACACACAAUACUAUACUUUUCAGAAUCAUCUCGUUGUAACUUUUGAACAGACGGUCGGACAUAUUUUAGCUUAAUGUAUAAAAUGUAGAGCUCGUCGAGAGGAACAGAUUAUACGCUGUAUGUAUGCAGCAAAGUCUUAUCGUUUUCCUAAUAUGUAAGCUUGAAAUUGCAGCGUAAUUUUUUUUUUGCACUCAGUGACCUUUGACCUUGACUGCAUAUUAAAGGUCACAUGAAUUAAAGAUUAUUGGUGAAGGUCCCAAGUCUCUACGACUUCUGGUUCUCGAAAUACAAUUAUUCUAAAAUUAUGUUCAAUUUUUCAAGGGGAAUAACUCCUUAUAAGGGUUAAUAACACAUGAUUGAACAUGUUCAUUAACAUUGCCAUCUGUUCC